Molecule: RNase P RNA, 360 nt
Filed under: Chloroflexi bacterium RBG_16_63_12
Lineage: Bacteria; Bacillati; Chloroflexota
Description: RNase P RNA component class A
Rfam family: Bacterial RNase P class A
About the family: Ribonuclease P (RNase P) is a ubiquitous endoribonuclease, found in archaea, bacteria and eukarya as well as chloroplasts and mitochondria. Its best characterised activity is the generation of mature 5'-ends of tRNAs by cleaving the 5'-leader elements of precursor-tRNAs.
Source: RNAcentral
CAAGUUGGCCGGGCGAUCGCGUCUGGGCGCGUACGCGCGGCUCAGCCGAGGAAAGUCCGCGCUCCGCAGAGCACGGCGCCGGGUAACGCCCGGCACGCGGUGACGUGUGGGAACAGGGCCACAGAGAAGCGCAGUGCCGCCGCGAGGCGGCGAGGGUGAAACGGCGCGGCAAGAGCGCACCGGCGUUCGCAGUAAUGCGGGCGGCCAGGUAUCCCCCGCCGGGAGCAAGGCCAAGCAGAGUCGAGCUGCGGCUCGCAGCGUUUGAGACUCGGGUAGGCUGCUACGGACCCCAGCAGCAAUGUGUGGGGCGAGAGAGAUGAUCGCCUAAAACAGAACGCGGCUUACGGGCCGACUUGGACA